RNAcentral lists this ribosomal RNA (253 nucleotides) under uncultured bacterium. RNAcentral describes it as "partial 16S ribosomal RNA". It matches the Rfam family "Bacterial small subunit ribosomal RNA", at positions 524 to 776 of the family's 1533-position model. The record is from RNAcentral.
UACGUAGGGGGCAAGCGUUGUCCGGAAUCAUUGGGCGUAAAGAGCGCGUAGGCGGCCCUGUAAGUCCGCUGUGAAAGUCAAGGGCUCAACCCUUGGAUGCCGGUGGAUACUGCAGGGCUAGAGUCCGGAAGAGGCGAGUGGAAUUCCUGGUGUAGCGGUGAAAUGCGCAGAUAUCAGGAGGAACACCCGUGGCGAAGGCGGCUCUCUGGGACGGUACUGACGCUGAGACGCGAAAGCGUGGGGAGCGAACAGG